This 81-nucleotide transfer RNA is filed under the name Ovis aries (sheep). It matches the Rfam family "tRNA". Rfam says of the family: Transfer RNA (tRNA) molecules are approximately 80 nucleotides in length. The record is from Rfam by way of RNAcentral. Lineage: Eukaryota; Metazoa; Chordata; Mammalia; Artiodactyla; Bovidae.
GCAGGAUGGCUGAAUGGUUAAGGUGUUGGACUUAAGAUCCAAUGGGUUAGUGCCUUGUGGGUUCAAAUCCCACUCUCAGUA